This is a long non-coding RNA of Meriones unguiculatus (Mongolian gerbil), 609 nucleotides long. RefSeq lists it as uncharacterized. NCBI's taxonomy places the organism in Eukaryota, Metazoa, Chordata, Mammalia, Rodentia, Muridae. The transcript has 3 exons. The record is from RefSeq and is a predicted model, not a curated record.
UGUUGUGACCCAAAGCAGUGAACGCUGUGCUGCACUGUCAAGCGGCUUUUGACUCUAAGACCCCCUGAGCAGGGCACUCCUGUGGUCAGGCCUUAUCUGCCUCACUCCCACUCUCGAUAAGGGCCGAGUCAUUCCCUUAUCUGUAACCUCCGGGAAGCUCCAGCACACCCUGGAGGUUUCUGUAACACAGAGCCAGGAUUCAGCCGCAUCAGCUACUUUUCGCAUUUCCCUCUCUGAUCACGCUCUUUAGCCAAGAACAAAUUUGCACUCAGCCCAGGAGUUCCAAGGCCGCCUCCGAGCAAACACUCACUGGUGCAGAUUGUUGCUCCUGUAGUUCCUUGAAGAAUACAGCAUAAUGCAACCUGGAACUGCCGGGAGAAGCAGCAGCAGCCUCGUUCUCUCUCAGAGCUUUCCACGCUCUCCUGGCUCUGGCAUUUGUUCUCUCUCCAGAGUCCUCAGAUUUAAACUAUCUGCAGCUGCCAAAGAGCUCCUCUCAGAGCCUGCACAAGACAAAUAGCUUGCUGCUGUAGACUACCUGAAUCAGUCCCACAUUGCACACCUAGGAUUCAAAUAAAAACAUGUUUAUAUCCACAACCGAGGAGAAUUGUG